RNAcentral lists this ribosomal RNA (484 nucleotides) under uncultured bacterium. RNAcentral's name for it is "partial 16S ribosomal RNA". It matches the Rfam family "Bacterial small subunit ribosomal RNA", at positions 30 to 507 of the family's 1533-position model. The record is from RNAcentral.
AUUGAACGCUGGCGGCAGGCCUAACACAUGCAAGUCGAGCGGAUGAAGGGAGCUUGCUCCUGGAUUCAGCGGCGGACGGGGGAGUAAUGCCUAGGAAUCUGCCUGGUAGUGGGGGAUAACGUCCGGAAACGGGCGCUAAUACCGCAUACGUCCUGAGGGAGAAAGUGGGGGAUGUUCGGACCGCACGCGAUCAGAUGAGCCUAGGUCGGAUUAGCUAGUUGGUGGGGUAAAGGCCUACCAAGGCGACGAUCCGUAACUGGUCUGAGAGGAUGAUCAGUCACCCUGGAGCUGAGACAGGGUCCAGACGACUAAGGGAGGCCGCAGUGGGGAAUAUUGGACAAUGGGCGAAAGCAUGAUCCAGUCAUGCCGCGUGUGUGAAGAAGGUCUUCGGAUUGUAAAGCCCUUUAAGUUGUGAGGAAGGGCAGUAAGUUAAUACCUUGCUGUUUUGACGUUAACAACAGAAUAAGCACCGGCUAACUUCGUG